GGCCUGGUGCCUCACUGAAGCCAACGAUAGAGGAGGUCCUCCGGACAGAACGAGAGGGAGGGAGGGAGAGAGAGAGAGAGAGAGAGAGAGAAGGAAGGAGGGAGGGAGCAUCACACAUGGACAGCAGAUCCAGGGACUGCUGCUCUCUUCCCUCAGUCUCUCAUUCUCUCUCACGCGCUGGCAGCGUCUUCCCGGGAGAUCGACUUUUAAUCUCUGGUGGAAUCCUGGGGGGAGGAGUGAGGCGUGCCCGUGGACGCUACUUCCGUGGAUACGAUGGGAGCACACCGGGGAAGAAGAGGCGCAGGAGGUUUGUUUACAACUUCAAACAUUGACUGAGGACCUUGAGCUGAACAUCUGGAACGUGCUGUCGCAGAGCCCGACUCCGCCUGCCAACUCCCUGACUCGUCUCCCAGACUCCUCUUCCCUGACUCUUCUUCCCUGACUCAACUUUCCCAACUCUCCUUCCCUGACUCUACUCCUCCCAUUCUUAUUCCCUGACUCUUGUUCCCUAACUCUUCUUCCCUGACUCUACUUCCCAUUAUUAACUGCACUCGUGUGACUCGCAGACUCAAGGUCUCCCGGAGAUCCACAUACAACGGAAACAUAAUGACUCUGACCCCGUGCAAUCCCGCCUCGACCACCUCAUUCCUCGUUGGUCCUGUCAGAGUCUCCAAGCCCCCACCAUCCCCAGCAGAAACGAGAUCCUCCAGACAAACUCUGAAUGGCGAUCGAUACAGCUGUCUGUCACACGCUAUGACAAUUGUCGGCGAGCGUUUGGGACUGACAGUUCUGUCUGUCCAUCUGUCAUUGCAUGGCUGUGCGAGAGGAGUUGUACACAUCGAUGUGUGAGGGUCACGUACGGCACCCCGCACUCUCAGCUGUUUAGAAGGAACCAUCGUGUGCUUGCAUUGGCAAUUGAGAUGUGCUGGGGGUUCAAAUAUAGACCACAAGAGCUCAUAGUAUGAGCUGCACACAAACAGAAAGAAAGUGUCAGUGCCGAACAUGAAGAAAAAAUCACCUAAUGCUUGAUGAAGGAGUUGUGGAUCAUCGUGUAUCAUGUGUUGUUGGUAUGUAGCAGCCCUUGGUUGGAUCAUACCCUAUACGCUUCACCACACCAGGAUUACUCAUUAUGGCCUCAUUCACCCUUCGAUUAUGGACGCAUCCCACUUUGGAGACACCGCCUUUCUCUGCCCUGGGGCAGCGCGGUAAUCACCGAUCUCUGUCUGCUGCGGAUCUGGGCUCGCAGGGGAGACGAAGAAGUAGCCUCGAGCUCUUCUGACGCCAACCUGAGUGACUUAGCACCCGCUCAUUCCACACACGCUUGGCAUCCGCUAAUGUGGCGCCUCCUCAGCCCUGGUUUCGGCAGAAUGGAUCGGCCAUGUUCCCGACCAUGCUUUUUCCUGAGAACCUUCCCAAGCAGGGACUAAUGGAAGGAUCUGUGUGGCGGGACGCAUCCGUAGCAAAGCGCCACCAAGGCAUGUAGGAGGAAACGUUUUCCAGGAUCCAAUUAUACCACACUGACACUUACUUUGAUGUCUACCUCGACAUAUUUCUAUCAGCCUCGGGAUCGGGACUCCGUCUUUGAGGUUCCACAUGAGGCAACACUUAAUUUCAGCCCAGUUGUGAGACGACUUGUUGGAUAAUUUUCAUCAGCUGUGGGCAGCCUGCCCAAACUUUGAAACAGGUUUUGAAUAAAAUGCUUGAAAAUUGUGUUUUUUAAAAUUGGUCAAAAAUAGAUAAGUAGCUUUUUUUCUGCCCUUGGUGGUCCAUGUUCUGUUUGAGGAAAAAUAAAUGUCCACCUGUUACUGCUACUGUGCUGAUGUAGAGAUGAAUAGUAGCCGAUGCCCACUGCCUAAAUGAAAUAUCACACUCCAUCCACACAGUUAUUAACCGCACACACCCUUGCAGCAAACAACAAUAAGCUCAACAUUCUCAGCUCUCUCUCUCUCUCUCUCUCACACACACCAAUUCAAAGGAGUCAUCAAGACUCCCCCUCCCUGAAAUAAGCAGAGCCAAAUGCAAAAUAAAGCAUUUUUAACAAAGUUAAA
Electrophorus electricus (electric eel) is the source of this 2048-nucleotide long non-coding RNA. RefSeq lists it as uncharacterized. NCBI's taxonomy places the organism in Eukaryota, Metazoa, Chordata, Actinopteri, Gymnotiformes, Gymnotidae. The record is from RefSeq and is a predicted model, not a curated record.